This 87-nucleotide microRNA precursor is filed under the name Microtus ochrogaster (prairie vole). RNAcentral's name for it is "miRNA (ENSMOCG00000008242.1)". The record is from RNAcentral. Lineage: Eukaryota; Metazoa; Chordata; Mammalia; Rodentia; Cricetidae.
GGCCAGUUUGGGGGACAGGGCAAGGUGGGCAGUGGCUGACAGUCUGUUUACACUUGCCCUUCUUUUCUCCAGGCUACAGUUCAGUUG